This is a non-coding RNA of Gossypium raimondii (Peruvian cotton), 145 nucleotides long. Lineage: Eukaryota; Viridiplantae; Streptophyta; Magnoliopsida; Malvales; Malvaceae. The record is from Rfam.
UGUUAAAAUUUUCAUCUAUUUGUUCCGUUAAAAAUUGGCAUGUUUGACAGAAUAACCAAAUAGGGACAUAUUGUGUGCCACAUGUACAUCAUGUCAAUGUACAAGGACGAGUUUUUAACAAUAGAAAUUGAUGAAAUUUUUAAUU